This 1207-nucleotide ribosomal RNA is filed under the name metagenome. Its description in RNAcentral is "bacterial SSU rRNA". It matches the Rfam family "Bacterial small subunit ribosomal RNA", at positions 8 to 1237 of the family's 1533-position model. The record is from RNAcentral.
AGAGUUUGAUCCUGGCUCAGGACGAACGCUGGCGGCGCGCCUAACACAUGCAAGUCGAACGAGAGAGAGGGAGCUUGCUUCCUCAAUCGAGUGGCGAACGGGUGAGUAACGCGUGAGGAACCUGCCUCAAAGAGGGGGACAACAGUUGGAAACGACUGCUAAUACCGCAUAAGCCCACGGCUCGGCAUCGAGCAGAGGGAAAAGGAGCAAUCCGCUUUGAGAUGGCCUCGCGUCCGAUUAGCUAGUUGGUGAGGUAAUGGCCCACCAAGGCGACGAUCGGUAGCCGGACUGAGAGGUUGAACGGCCACAUUGGGACUGAGACACGGCCCAGACUCCUACGGGAGGCAGCAGUGGGGAAUAUUGCACAAUGGGGGAAACCCUGAUGCAGCGACGCCGCGUGGAGGAAGAAGGUCUUCGGAUUGUAAACUCCUGUUGUUGAGGAAGAUAAUGACGGUACUCAACAAGGAAGUGACGGCUAACUACGUGCCAGCAGCCGCGGUAAAACGUAGGUCACAAGCGUUGUCCGGAAUUACUGGGUGUAAAGGGAGCGCAGGCGGGCGAUCAAGUUGGAAGUGAAAUCCAUGGGCUCAACCCAUGAACUGCUUUCAAAACUGAUUGUCUUGAGUAGUGCAGAGGUAGGCGGAAUUCCCGGUGUAGCGGUGGAAUGCGUAGAUAUCGGGAGGAACACCAGUGGCGAAGGCGGCCUACUGGGCACCAACUGACGCUGAGGCUCGAAAGUGUGGGUAGCAAACAGGAUUAGAUACCCUGGUAGUCCACACCGUAAACGAUGAUUACUAGGUGUUGGAGGAUUGACCCCUUCAGUGCCGCAGUUAACACAAUAAGUAAUCCACCUGGGGAGUACGACCGCAAGGUUGAAACUCAAAGGAAUUGACGGGGGCCCGCACAAGCAGUGGAGUAUGUGGUUUAAUUCGACGCAACGCGAAGAACCUUACCAAGUCUUGACAUCCUGCGACGAUGCUAGAAAUAGUAUUUUCCUUCGGGACGCAGAGACAGGUGGUGCAUGGUUGUCGUCAGCUCGUGUCGUGAGAUGUUGGGUUAAGUCCCGCAACGAGCGCAACCCUUAUGGUCAGUUACUACGCAAGAGGACUCUGGCCAGACUGCCGUUGACAAAACGGAGGAAGGUGGGGAUGACGUCAAAUCAUCAUGCCCUUUAUGACUUGGGCUACACACGUACUACAAUGGCGUU